ACGUAGGUGGCAAGCGUUGUCCGGAUUUACUGGGUGUAAAGGGCGUGUAGCCGGGAAGGCAAGUCAGAUGUGAAAUCCACGGGCUUAACUCGUGAACUGCAUUUGAAACUGUUUUUCUUGAGUAUCGGAGAGGCAAUCGGAAUUCCUAGUGUAGCGGUGAAAUGCGUAGAUAUUAGGAGGAACACCAGUGGCGAAGGCGGAUUGCUGGACGACAACUGACGGUGAGGCGCGAAAGCGUGGGGAGCAAACAG
RNAcentral lists this ribosomal RNA (251 nucleotides) under uncultured bacterium. RNAcentral describes it as "partial 16S ribosomal RNA". It matches the Rfam family "Bacterial small subunit ribosomal RNA", at positions 525 to 775 of the family's 1533-position model. The record is from RNAcentral.